Molecule: transfer RNA, 74 nt
Filed under: Stegodyphus mimosarum
Lineage: Eukaryota; Metazoa; Arthropoda; Arachnida; Araneae; Eresidae
Rfam family: tRNA
About the family: Transfer RNA (tRNA) molecules are approximately 80 nucleotides in length.
Source: Rfam by way of RNAcentral
GCCUUCUUGGUGUAAUGAUCAGCACACUUGGUGUGUAUUCAAGAGGUCCGAGGUUCGAGUCCCCGAUGAAGGCA